AUCCUUGGAAGAGGGAGAAAUUCCUUGGUUACAGUACAAUGAGGUCAAUGAAAGCAGCAGUGAUGAAGGAAAUGAGCCUGCCAAUGAAUUUGCACAGCCAGAAGCUUUCAUGUUGGAUGGUAACAAUAACCUUGAGGAUGACUCCAGUGUGAGUGAAGACUUAGAUGUGGACUGGAGGUAUGUAGCACAUCUUCCUUUCCUUCACAGUUCAUUUCAGGUGUCACUUCCUACAUGAACUUCUUACUUACUUUAGUCAAUGAGUUCUUCCUUCUUUGACUGUUAGCUUGCUUGACCUAGUUAGCUUGCUCACCUAGUUUAUACACUUAUGUUUGAGGUUUCAGACUUUAAAAUUUAGUUUUCUAUGCUAAAUGCAGCACUUACUCUGAUCCAUUAAAAAAAAAGUUGAGUAUUACUUAAAGACUUUCAAAACGUGAUUGAAUGAGAAGAGUCGUAAGACUAUAGUUUUCCUUCUCUUUAUGGAAAAUAUAAUUGUACCUUCCCAGAGAUGUUGGAUGUAUUAAAUUUACUUUACUCUGACAAAGAAUAGUGAUCUUCCAAUAAAAGUGACAUAAGUUAAGUAGAUUAUAGAAUUGUUAUAGUUUGUGAUAUAAUGAUCAAGAUUUAACUCUUCUGGUUUAUAACGUAGAUAAACCAAUGUGCAGUAUAACUUUUUGAAAGCCGUUGAUUAUUAAAAUGUAAAGAGAAUGUUCCAACUGAUUCCUUUUUGUUAACUUUUUCUGGAAAAAAAUAUGGCUUAUUACUAUCCUUGUUUCCAUCUCUGCAUAGACAUAUUUUGAAGAAUUUGUCUUAUUUUCCCAGUUAAAAUUCAAUUACAAAAAAAAAUUCCAUUACAGAAAAUUUGCAAAAAUAAAGGUAAGAAAAACUCAUUCAUAUCCCCUGAUAAAUCUGCAGGUUUCUAGAACUUAGGUUUUUAAGGCCUCCUUUGUGUCUUCAGUUUUUCUGAGUGUGGAGAGCUACUUCUUUGUACUUCUCCAAAUUGUUCUAGACACAAAAACUCAACAUCUCCAUGAAAUCCUCCUUACAUAGAGUUCCUGCUGUGGCUCAGCAGAUUAAGAACCCCAACAUAGUGUCUCUGAGGAUGCGGUUUUGAUCCCUGGUGCAGUGGGUUAAGGAUCCAGUAUUGCUACGAGAUGCAGUGUAGGUCGCAAAUACAGCUCAGAUCCUGCAUAGCUGUGGUUCUGGUGUAGCCCAGCAGCUGCUUUCCUAGUCAGCCCCUAGUCCAGGAACUUCCAUAUGCUUCACAUGCAGCAGCAUGAAGGAAAAAACAAAAUCCUCCUUACUAUUUCCUAUUCUUCCUCCCCAGGGGAAGAAAAAACAGCAUGUUCAGAGCAGACUUUUACUGACUGUAUUGUAGAAGUAAAAGGGGUUUCACCACAGCCACACAAGCAAUUAGUAAUUCCAUCCUAAACAUUCUCACUCUCUAAAACCUAUUUUCUUUCUUCCCAAACAUUACAGAAACUCAGCCAGUCUUAGUCUUGAUCUUGACACCCCCCUUCUUUUCUUCCCUUUCUUAUGUCUGCCCAUUACCUUCUUACUGAACCCCUGUUACUUCUGAUGUUUUCCCUGAUGACAUUGUGCAGUCAUUCCUCACAGUGCUCAGCAGAUGACACAGUUGUCUGUUUAGCAUCAUCUGUGCAUUUUGGGAGGCAAUUAUGGUUUCAUAUGAGGAAUUUUGUUCUUUUGCACAUUUUCAAAAUUUUAUAAAUAUAAUUAUUAUAGCUCCAUUAUAUAGAUGAUCCAUCCUACUAUCACACUAAAAUUUAAUUGACUAUUUUGUCAUUGAAAUAAUACAGUUAACUUCCCAUCCC
RNAcentral lists this long non-coding RNA (1829 nucleotides) under Sus scrofa (pig). RNAcentral describes it as "lncRNA (ENSSSCG00060033810.1)". The record is from RNAcentral. Lineage: Eukaryota; Metazoa; Chordata; Mammalia; Artiodactyla; Suidae.